Molecule: long non-coding RNA, 527 nt
Organism: Hevea brasiliensis (rubber tree)
Lineage: Eukaryota; Viridiplantae; Streptophyta; Magnoliopsida; Malpighiales; Euphorbiaceae
Exons: 2
Source: RefSeq, a predicted model, not a curated record
UUUCUCCUAAGUAACCUUAUCAAAGAAAUACUUUAUAAAGCAAAAAUCAUCAAAUUAUGGGACAAAUGUCUCAUACUUUCUCAUUGUGGAUUGGUUACACCCACUUGUCUUUCUGGGCCAUUGAUGAGUCAUGAAGCCUAGGUCCCUCAUUGUGGUGGCUUAAGUCAUUAGUCCUCAUCCCUCACUGCUCCAAACUCAAAAGUGAAAUCCUUCUCUCACCUCUAGGUAUGGUGGUUUGUGUAAGAUCAUAGGUCUCGAUCCUUCGUUGUCUGGUUAUUGAAGAAUGCUUGCAUGUUGAAUCUGUGGUGGUUUCUAUUUGUGGUAAGCUAGCAGCCCCAUUCCUAGCAAUCAAUGGAUCUGUAAUUGUAAAUACUCUUCAUUUCUUUGUGGAUUUUCUUGUUUUAUGUAUAUUUUUUUUUGGUGUUUAGUUGUUAAUAUUUGCUGGGUGUUGGGUUACUUCUAGAUUGUGUAAUAUAUAUUUAUUGGAGGUAACAAUAUGAUGAAAUUAACUGAAAAUUUUUUGUUUA